Molecule: ribosomal RNA, 482 nt
Filed under: uncultured bacterium
Lineage: Bacteria
Description: partial 16S ribosomal RNA
Rfam family: Bacterial small subunit ribosomal RNA
Source: RNAcentral
AUUGAACGCUGGCGGCAUGCCUUACACAUGCAAGUCGCACGGUAACAGGUCUUCGGCUGCUGACGAGUGGCGAACGGUUGCGUAAUACACCGGAACGUGCCCGAUCGUGGGGGCUAACGCAGCUACAGCAUGGCUAAUACGUCAUCCGAUCUCCGGGUGAUAUCAGGGGACCCCAAGGCCAUUCCCGCCCGCCCCGGCCGAUGGCCGAGUCGGUAGUUGGUGGGAUGAAAGCCCACCAAGCCGACGCUCUGUACCUGGUCUGAGAGGACGACCAGCCACCCUGGGACUGUGACACGGCCCAGACUCCUACGGGAGGCAGCAGUGGGGAACUUUGGACCAUGGGGGAGAGCCUGAUCCAGCCGUGCCGCGUGCAGGAUGAAGGCCUCCGGGUUGUCAACUGCUUUUGUGUGGAGCGAACAGCCUCCUUCUAAUACCGAGGGUCCAUGCCGGUACCGGAAGACUAAGCACCGGCUAACUACGUG